AACUAACGCUGGCGGCGUGCCUAACACAUGCAAGUCGUACGAGAAAGUUGGCUUCGGCCGAUGAGUACAGUGGCGCACGGGUGAGUAACGCGUGGAUAAUCUGCCCUUAAGUGUGGAAUAACGUACCGAAAGGUGCGCUAAUACCGCAUAAUGCCUGGCAACAUAAGUUGUCCGGCCAAAGAAGGCCUCUGCUUGCAAGCUUUCGCUAAAGGAUGAGUCCGCGUACCAUUAGCUAGUUGGUGGGGUAACGGCCUACCAAGGCGACGAUGGUUAGCUGGUCUGAGAGGAUGAUCAGCCACACUGGAACUGAGACACGGUCCAGACUCCUACGGGAGCAGCAGUGAGGAUAUUGCGCAAUGGGGCAACCCUGACGCAGCAACGCCGCGUGAGUGAGGAAGGUUUUCGGACUGUAAAGCUCUGUCGAGCGGGAAGAAGUGUACCAUGGCUAAUAUCCAUGAUAUUGACGGUACGCUAGAGAACG
RNAcentral lists this ribosomal RNA (481 nucleotides) under uncultured bacterium. Its description in RNAcentral is "bacterial SSU rRNA". It matches the Rfam family "Bacterial small subunit ribosomal RNA", at positions 29 to 490 of the family's 1533-position model. The record is from RNAcentral.